RNAcentral lists this ribosomal RNA (234 nucleotides) under uncultured bacterium. RNAcentral describes it as "partial 16S ribosomal RNA". The record is from RNAcentral.
CUGCUGCCUUCCGUAGGAGUCUGGGCCGUGUCUCAGUCCCAAUGUGGCCGGCCAACCUCUCAGUCCGGCUACUGAUCGUCGCCUUGGUGGGCCGUUACCCCGCCAACUAGCUAAUCAGACGCGAGUCCAUCUCAGAGCGAUAAAUCUUUGGCAGUCAGAGCCAUGCGACUCAACUGCAUCAUGAGGUAUUAGCAGCUGUUUCCAACUGUUAUUCCCCACUCCAAGGCAGGUUAC